AACAAUGAGAUUGCAAUUAUACAAGGCUUGCUCGAGGGCAAGCAACAUCAACCACGAUAAGUGAAAGCAAUCUAACUAUUACAUUCAUUCAUUGUAACUUGAUCACUUUCAAUCAAAUACAAAACUUGUACAUUUACUUUACAUUCAUUCUUCCAACUUACAUUGCCAUCUCUCAAAUGAAUUUAUUACAUUUCAUACAAAUUUUACAUUCAUCGACAUAAUAGAUGAAAUAUACAUAGGGUGGCUCUAUACACAUCGGUAGUCCGCUACAUAGAGCAUGAUAACUGUAAUAUACCGAAAAUUCGGAAAGUAAAUAUCGAACUUUAGUCAAAUUGACCAAAGUGCGAGGAUGGUACACUUCGGAAAGUCCGAAGGUGUUA
This 380-nucleotide long non-coding RNA is filed under the name Ananas comosus (pineapple). RNAcentral describes it as "long non-coding RNA (ACOM_LNC010229)". Lineage: Eukaryota; Viridiplantae; Streptophyta; Magnoliopsida; Poales; Bromeliaceae. The record is from RNAcentral.